GCCUCAUUAGCGCAAUUGGAUAACGCGCAGGUCUUCUAAACCUGAGAUUGCGGGUUCGAGUCCCGCAUGAGGUA
This 74-nucleotide transfer RNA is filed under the name Chloroflexota bacterium. RNAcentral's name for it is "tRNA-Arg". It matches the Rfam family "tRNA". From Rfam's summary of the family: Transfer RNA (tRNA) molecules are approximately 80 nucleotides in length. Their secondary structure includes four short double-helical elements and three loops (D, anti-codon, and T loops). Lineage: Bacteria; Bacillati; Chloroflexota. The record is from RNAcentral.